GUCUGGGAAAAUACCAUUGGUUCGCAAUUGCGAGGUACACCUGACGUCUAGAUCCAUAUUAUCAUGACAUAACUAUAAAAUAGCGUAUCACGAGUCCUUCGUCUCGCGCGUUCGUGAUGACGUGUUUUAGAGGAAGGAGAAGUCGUAACAAGGUUUCUGUAGGUGAACCUGCAGAAGGAUCAUUUGCACAUGUGUAGCCAACUGCAUGCUAAUGAUAUUGUGGGCAACUGUAAGCAUGUAUUGCAAUGGACUUGCACUUGCCCUGGGCAGCAUGAUUUGUUUUUCAAGCAUGUGUGCUGUAGUGUGUGAUGUGUUUUGUAAACUGUUUGCAUUUCUCUAGUUGCUGCAACAAUUAUGUUUUGCAAGGAAUGUCUUAGCUCAAUAAAUGAUGAAGAAUGCAGCAAAAUGCAAUAUGCAUUGCGAAUUGCAGAAUUCCGUGAGCUAACAGAUGUUUGAAUGUUACUUGUACCUUUGGGAUAUUCUUGAAGGUUUGCUUGGUUUAAUGCAAAGUAGCUUUCAUAUACAUUUAAUGCUGAUUAGCAUUGUUGUGAACAAUAAAGGUCAAUGUUUUGCAUUGAACCUGGAUGUCAUACAGUUGUUUACAACCUAAACAUGGUUUCGUGGGGCAGACCUGUUUCGUCAUUUGAUGGUUGAUAUUGUAAAUGUGCACAACUGGGACAAGCUGAAGACUUGCAUAUGCUAAGCGUGAAGUGAAGCACAUAAACCUGCUGAAUUUAAGCAUAUAAGUAAGUGGUGGAAAUUAAACCAAU
Molecule: ribosomal RNA, 770 nt
Filed under: Alexandrium tamarense
Lineage: Eukaryota; Dinophyceae; Gonyaulacales; Pyrocystaceae
Description: eukaryotic LSU rRNA
Rfam family: 5.8S ribosomal RNA (bases 354-508)
Source: RNAcentral